This 6108-nucleotide long non-coding RNA is filed under the name Equus asinus (donkey). RNAcentral's name for it is "lncRNA (ENSEASG00005028589.1)". The record is from RNAcentral. Lineage: Eukaryota; Metazoa; Chordata; Mammalia; Perissodactyla; Equidae.
CUGGCGGGAGGUGGUGGCGGUUGGCGCUGUCCUGGGGCGGAGGAGACUUGGAGGAGGUGGUAGUAAAUCAGACAUGAUGAAGUGGAUGGCACUCCAGAGCAAGUUUUAGCAAGGAUUUGGGCAAGCAGUGAAUAAUGACCUGUGUUAUGAUGAGAUCUAUAUUUCUCUUGUGACCUGAGAAUGUUCCUCUUCCUCUGUCAAUCCCAAAUUUGAUGCCAUAAUCACUGAAAACAGUAGGAGAGAAGCACUCCUUGUGCUCCUUUUGCACAAGGUAAAUGGUAGAAGAGCUCAAGAAAUUUUCUAAAGCAAUAUAAAUUUCAACUCUGGACAAUAAUAAGUUUCAGCAGAGCAUUUAAACAGUCAACAAGUAGUAGAAAUAAAAGAUCUUUACAGAGACCAACAGAGAUGAGUGGCCUUCUAGCCCUUCUAGACAGUUCUGUGCUUGGGGAGUUAUCAGGAGGACCAGCUCUGUCAGCAGGAUCCAGCAGAUUAGCCCUGAGCUAACAUCUGCUGCCAAUCCUCCUCUUUUUGCUGAGGAAGACUGGCCCUGAGCUAACAUCCGUGCCCAUCUUCCUCUACUUUCUAUGUGGGACACCUACCACAGCGUAGCUUGCCAAGCAGUGACCUGUCCGCACCCCGGAUCCGAACUGGUGAACCCCAGGCCACCAAAACGAACAUGCGCACUUAACCGCUGCACCACCAGGCCAGCUCUAAAUGUUUCCAGGUCUCUGAGUCUGCAUCAAUUCCACCAGUUCUGACCCUGGAACUUUAGUGAAUGACCCACCACUCAAGGCCCUCCAGCUGCAUCAGUCUUCUCUUACAAGGUCCAGAUGGAGCCAUCAGGUUUGAUGAUAUCAAGAUUGGUCUUGUUGCUCCAUUCCUUCAGGGAAGUAAGAUUCCACGCGCUCUGAUGCCGCCAUAGAGAAGAUCCAAUAAUCCACCCGUGUGUGCUGGCUGCUGACCAUUCGCUGUUCCACCUGGCUCUUGAAGGGAGAAACACUGCUGUCCACUGAGGCCUCCUGUCCCCUUGAUCUCCAUUUCAUCUUCCAGAUGGGACUGCAGGCAUUCGCUGAUUGUCUAGGCUUCUUCCCUGGUCUGUCUCACCCCCACCUGGAUGUUCUUUGCUCACGGGAAGGGAGGGAGGGGCUGCUGAGGGCUCUGGGUGGCCCCCCAUGGCUGUGUGUUGUCUCCAAAGCCUCCCUCUUCUGGCAGCUGACCACUUCAUGUAUCGCCCUCCGGGGUACUUUGAAAAGUGAACAUGAGUUCAUUCUGAUCCCACAUCUAACACAUUAUCACAUAGAUCCUUCUAUCUUCCUCCCUGGCUUAUCUGUAAACUCCUACCCCAACAGUGAGAAAUCUCGUUCAUCUCAUUUGCCAUUCAUUCAGUUAAUUGCCUAAUUCCAGUGUACAUUUCUAGUAGUAUCAGUAUUGUCACCCUGUCCCCACUGUGAAGCAGCUUUAUCAACUAGAGUACAGUGCUUAUGGACAGUUUCUGUUGCCUUUAGUUUUACAGACUCAACUCAUUUCUGAAGUUACGUUGAUCAACAACUUUCCCCCCAACUGUUUCAUUGAGAUGUUUCAUACAUUUGUAAUACAAUUACUAUAUAUUAUCUCUUUGUCACAUUCUGCAUUCCAUCCUGGGAUUCCACUGAUCUCCUAAGUGAUUUUUUGUUAAUUAGCAUGCAUUAAGGUUUACAGUUUGUGCUGUAAAGUUCCUUGGGUUUGACAAACGCACAGUGUCAUGUAUCCAUAAUUGCAGCAUCAUACAGAAUGAUUUCACCGCUCUAAAGUAUCGGCUGUGCUUCCUCUAUUCGACCCUUUCUCCCUCCCCAAACCAACCACUAGUGUUUUUACUAUUUUUUUUCAAUUUUGCCUUUUCCAAAAUGUCAUAUGAUUGGAGUUAUACAGUAUGUAGCCUUUUCAGACUGGUUUCUUUUACUUAGUAAUAUGCAUUUAAGGUUCAUCCAUGUCUUUUCGUGGCUUAAUAGCUCAUUUCUUUUAAUUGGUGAGUAAUAUUCCAUUAUAGGACACACUAUGGUUUGUUUAUCCAUUUACCUAUUGAAGGGCAUGAUUGCUUCUAGUUUUUAGCAAUUAUAAACAAAGCUGAUAUAAACAUUUGUGUUAAGUUUGUGGACAUAAAUUUUCAAAUCUUUUGAAUAUAAACUUAGGAGUGUGUUUGCUAGAUCAUGUAGUAAGACUAUGCUAAGAUUUGUAAGAAACUGCCAAACUGUCUUCCAAAAUGUCUGUACCAUUUUAUAUCCUCACCAGCAAUGAAUGACAAUUCCUGUUGCCCUUUAUCCCCACCAGUAAUUGGAAUUUUCAGUUUGGGGAUGUUUUACCAUAUUAAUAGGUGUGUAGUAGCAGCUCACUGUUGUUUUCAUUUGCAGUUUCCUGAUGGUAAAUGAUGGCGAGCGUGUCUGCAGAUGUUUAUUGGCCGUCUGUGUAUCUUCUUUGCUGAGCUGUCUGUUCACAGCUUCUUCCUCUUUUUAAAUUGGAUAGUCUUCCUACUGUUGAGUUUUAAGUAUCCUUUUUAUAUUUUGCACAGGAGUUCAUUAACAGAUGGGUGUUUUGCAAGUAUUUUCUCCCAUUCUGUGGCUUUUUAUUCUCUUAACUGUGUCUUCUUUCGAGCAGAAGUUUUACAUUUUAAUGUAAAAUAUGACUCGUUAAUUUUUUCUUUCAUGGUCAUACUUUUGGUGGUGUAUCUAAAAAAACAUCACCAAACCUAAGACCGCCUAGAUUUUCUCCUGCGUUUUCUUCUAGAAGUUUUAUAGUUUUGUGUUUUGCCUUUAGGUCUAUGAUUCAUUUUGAAUUAAUUUUUGUGAAAAGUAUAAAGUCUGUGUCUGGAUUCAUUGUUUUGCAUAUGGAUGUCAGAUUCUUCCACCACCAUUUGUUGAAAUGCUUAUUCUUUCUAUAUUUAAUUGUUUUUGCUCCUUUGUCAAAGCUCAGUUGACUCUAUUUGUGUGGAUCUGUUUCUGGGCUCUCUAUUGAGUUCCAUUGAUCUAUGUGCCUGUAUUUUCACCAAUACCUAGCUGUCUUGGUCACUUUACAGCUUUGUAAUACAAAGCUUUGUCGUAAGUCUUGAAAUUGGGAAGUGUGAGUCCUCCAACUUUGUUCUUCAGUUUUGUGUUGGCUGGUCUAGGUCCUUUGCCUUUCCAUAUAAACUUUAGAAUCAGUAUGUCAAUGUCUACAAAAUAGCUUACUGAGAUUUUGGGAUUGGGCAGAAUCUAUAGAUCAAGUUGGGAAGAAUUAACAUUUUAACAGUCUUGUGGCUUUCAAUCUAUUAACAUAAAAUAUUUAUUUAAAUAUUCUUUGAUUUCUUCAGAGGUUUGUAGUUUUCUUCAUAUAUGUUGUGUACAUAUUUUGUUAGAUUUAUCUCUAAGUAUUUCCUUUUUUUGGAUGCUAUUAUAAAUGAUAUUGUAUUUUUAAUUCCAAAUUCCAAUAGUUCUUUGCUGGUGUAGAGGAAAACAAUUGACUUUUGUAUAUUAAUCUUGUAUUUGUUAUUGACAUUAUCUUUUAGUUCUAAUAGGUUUGUAGUAGUAUCUUAUUGUAUUAAUUUACAUUUCUCUGAUGGCUAAUUAUGUGGAACAUCUCAUGUUUAUUUUCUAUCCAUAUUAUUUUCAGUGAAAUAUCUGUUUAUAUCAUUAGCCUCUUUUCUAAUUAGAUUGUUUGUUUUAUUACUGUUGUGUUUUGGUUUUUUUUUAAAGAUUGGUACCUGAGCUAAUAUCUGUUGCCAGUCUUCUUUUUUUCCUCUUUUUUUCCUUCUUCCUCUUCUCCCCAAAGUCCCCCCGGUACAUAGUUGUAUAUUUUUAGUUGCAAAUCCUUCUGGUUGUGCUAUGUGGGACAUCGCCUCAGCAUGGCUUGAUGAGUGGUGCCAUGUCCACGCCCAUGAUGCCAAACCAGUGAAACCCUGGGCCACCAAAGCGGAGUGCGUGAACUUAACCACUUGGCCACAGGGCCGGCCCCUUAUUACUGUUGAGUUUUGAGAUGUCUUUAUGUAUAUAGUAGAUAAGAGUUAUUUGUUAUAUCUGUGGUUUGCAAAUAUGUUCUCCAAGUCUUUCACUUUUCUUCCCAUGCUUUUAAUGGUCUUUCAAAGAGAAAAAGUUUUUAAUUUUGAUGGAGUCCAAUUUAUUGAUGUUUUUCUGUUAGGAAUCUCAUUCUAUGCACUAUCAUUGAUGUUUCCAUGGUUUCAAAAAUCAAAUAUAUUUAGAUGAUAACAAAAUCCCUGUAGCCCUGUCUGACAACUCCGUUGACUCCUCUUCCUCUCUCACACCCGACGUUCAAUCCAGCAUAAACUGUCAAAGACACACCCACACACACAUAUGUACACGUACACAAAUAUAUACAAAACCAAACCAUCUUUCACGCCCACCACCCUGUCCAAGCCGCUGUGGACUCCCACCUGGACCUGAUGCCCUGCUCACUCUUGCGUUCUCUUCCCGUCCCGCAGCCAGGAUGGUCCUGUUAAAACCCAAGUCAGAUUAGGUCUCACUUUACUCUUUGCUCAGACUCCCCCAAUCCAUGUUUAGCUCACUCACAGCAAAAUUCGAAGCUCUUACCACGGCCUACGAGGCCUUCCACAACCUGUGCCCUCCUCUCCACUCUCUCCUCGUCUCCGGUGCUCCCCUUGCUGACUCCAUUCCAGGGGCAUUAGCUUAAGAGCUGUUCUCUGAAGACUCUGGACAUCCUGCAUCGCAUGCAGCCGUUCCUUCUGUCCAGAGGCUCUUCCCUCGGCUAUCUGCAUCGCUCUCUCCGUCACCUCUUUCAGGCUUUUGCUCAUACGCCACCUUCAGAUGAGGCCCACCCUUCCCACCCAGGUAAAUCGAACUCAUGCUGCUUUCAAGCCCCAUAUCCUGCUUUUGUCUCCAUAGCAUUGUUACCUUCUAACAUACUAGAAAAUUUACUUAUUAUGUUUGUUGCUUAUUUUCUUCCCCCACAAAAGAACAUAGGUUCUGUAUGGGUUUGAAUUUUGCCUGAUGUUUUCUCUUGGUUCUGGCACAUAGAACAGUGCCUUAACAAGGCCUCAGUAAAUACGGUCAGUGAAAAACUGACUGAAUCAACUGCCUGUGACACAGGCGUCUCAUAGUAUUCGGAGUUGAACUUAAUGUUUUCCCAAGAUUUUUAAGAAUUCAUACCUCUAAGUCAGAAAGUUAGGAUGGGCCUCAUCGUGCUGCAGUUACGUCCUCGCCACCCCACGUUUAACUCCACUAGAGCAGAGCUCAAUGGGCAGUGUUUGCAUGAUCCUGCCAAGGCUCCUCUGUCUCUGGCUGGACCCCAUUCAAUUCUUUCUUUACACAACAGCCACAGAGAUUAGAAAUAUCUCUAUAGCUACAUAUCACUGUCACUUUUUUGCUUCGAAUCUUCUCAUGGCUCUCCGUUAUUUUCAAGCUAAUGUCUAAAUGCCACAUGGUGUGUAGGUUGACAUUCCUUGUUUACACUCCAUCCACACCUUGGAUGUCACUGUUCCACUGACUCACACCCUCUCCCUUGCCUGCCUGUCACGUGCUAUUUCUUUGGCCUAAAAUAGCCCUUUGCCACCUGGUGCUUCUCCUCCUUCUUCAGGUCUCAGCUGCAGUCUCGUGUCCCCAGCUGUAGCUAGAUGCCCCUCUUACCUUCUCUGCAACCUUAACACUUACUCCUUAGGAUGUAAUUGUUCCGUCUUCAUCUGUCUUUCCUACUGUAUUGUAAACUCCUCCAGAAAGAAUGUCUUUCACCUCCACAUGCCCACGGCCUAGUGCGGGGUCCAGCGUGGAGUCGUCAUUCACUAAAUGUUUUAGUAAAAUAUUAUGUCAAGAGCAGAGGUCAGUGCCUACUGCCGGCCUCUUUCCUCCAUCUGUAAGAUGACUCUCCUGGCUGCUGAAAUGCUUUAAGAGGAUUACAUUUUCAGCGACUUGGAUGUGGCAGAGACACAGCAUGGACUUUGGGGUCACCUCAGCUUGGGGAGAAUUGGAACUCUUGUGGUUUGGUAUUUGCAGUGGUUGAGACUAGAACCAGACUUACGCAUAUCUAGGAUCUGGCAUUGGUCACUAAUUUGGUGACUUCAGGCAAAUUAGUUGAGAACGUUGUGCCUAUUGUUCAUCUGUCAAAGUGAGGAUAAUAAAUAUACAUACA